UACGUAGGUCCCGAGCGUUGUCCGGAUUUAUUGGGCGUAAAGCGAGCGCAGGUGGUUUAUUAAGUCUGGUGUAAAAGGCAGUGGCUCAACCAUUGUAUGCAUUGGAAACUGGUAGACUUGAAUGCAGGAGAGGAGACUGGAAUUCCCGGUGUAACGGUGGAAUGUGUAGAUAUCGGGAAGAACACCAAUGGCGAAGGCAGGUCUCUGGGCCGUUACUGACGCUGAGGAGCGAAAGCGUGGGGAGCAAAUAGG
RNAcentral lists this ribosomal RNA (252 nucleotides) under uncultured bacterium. RNAcentral describes it as "partial 16S ribosomal RNA". It matches the Rfam family "Bacterial small subunit ribosomal RNA", at positions 524 to 776 of the family's 1533-position model. The record is from RNAcentral.